CUGACGUAGCAGUAAAAUUUCGCGUGCGUGAUAGGUUUCGAAUAGAGGUUGUGGAUUUAUUGUGAACUGGUUUGAACUGGGAGUAUUAUAUCAACAUUUAGGGAAGAUUGACUUAGGUAACAUUUUCAGCAGGUUUCCAAUCGGCUUUCUUCAAAAGUACAAACCUCGCUGUAUAAUCCAUCGCGUAAAGAUCCCUGCCCAUGGUAAACAAAGCGUGAUGUGUGUGAUUUUCCCUGUUUGCUGAAGCUAAUCAAUCCAAUUGGUUCAAACCAGCGACGACGGCAGAGUUGUAUUUACCGACGUGAGGUAUGAUGGAUUCCCCAGACAGUGAAGGAAUUGGAAAACUAUUAGUCCUGAAAUGCGAGUCUCCGCGUGUUUGAAAUCCGGCGAACAGUUUGUUUGAUUAACUGAUUGGAAAAUAUGAAGCGUACUACGGACCGUUCCCGAUAUACAGUAGGCUGUUUGCUGUUUGGCACAAAAUUGCCUACUUCAAGCAUCAUUGACUUACCAGAUUAAGACCUAAAUCGUACCUAACGAUGGGUGGGAAAUGUUCCAAUAUUUAUGUACAAACCCUUACUACCGGUUACGAUUGGCUGUAUUCCGUGCGGGCCGUUAUGUGACCGAGCAAUGCUUUACCCAACUAACAAUUCCCGUGCAGUUCCAUUACCAUUUCCACGAGCGACGGGUGGAUAACAAUUCCUUAGAAAAGAAAGGAAAAGAAAAUCUUUUCCCUUGUACCAGCGGGAACACUCAACCGGGUAUGUGAAAAGGUUGGCUUUCCGAGCUGUUUGACUGCACUUAAUACGCUAGUUAGGUUGAGGAGUGGGAACCCUCGUUCUUGUCAAACGUUGCGUGCGGCACGAGCUGCAUUUCACGUACCAAACGCUACGCUAAGCUUGAUUAUGUGUCCUGGAAAGCUUAUCGUAUCGGCCCGGGUUAGCUGUGCGCAUUGGGUGCGAGAAAAAUUAUUAUCAAAAUAAUCGUAAUUAUCGCUUGUAAUUUGUAUUUACUAGAAACGCCUACUAGCCACCGGGGACGUGGGGAAUAUAGUGACGAUUAGUCCAAGGAUUAUUGCCCUGCGUUCGUACGGGGGACGAUUUGCUCUAUGGGUACGGGAAAGAUUGCAUGAUUUAGUUUAAUCUGCCUCCCAUGUUCCGUACCCAUUGCUACACCUCUCCUGAUCACGA
This is a long non-coding RNA of Anopheles moucheti, 1187 nucleotides long. RefSeq lists it as uncharacterized. The transcript is spliced from 3 exons. NCBI's taxonomy places the organism in Eukaryota, Metazoa, Arthropoda, Insecta, Diptera, Culicidae. The record is from RefSeq and is a predicted model, not a curated record.